AGUCUUGGGAAGAUGAUCAUUGUCCCUGAAGAUGACCACUGAAGAUCAUUGCUCUCCAGCCUUGCCUCAUGAUUGGAAUCAGCUGGGGAACUCUGUAAAGCAGCUCGCUCCUGGCUUUGUCUCCUAGAACAGUGGUUCCCAGCUUCAUCCGCCCCCUGGGAUCACCUAGGGAACGUUUAGCAAUCCAGACAUACAGGCCACACUGCAGACUGAAUCAAAAUCUCUAGGACUCAGGUGUGAGUAUUUUUUUGAAGCUCCCCUGUGAUUUCAAUGUGCAGUCGAGGUUUGAGUGACUGUGCUGGAGACUGAUUCCAGAAGUCAGGGGUGGUGACCAAGAAUCAGUAUUUUUAGGACGAGCUCCAGAUGAUUCUUGUGAACACAAAGUUUGGAAGUUACUAAAUUUGAUAUAUAGGGAUCUAUUUCAAAUUAUUUAAAGAACCAUCUACAUUUGACUUCAUACUAAACGGUGCAAAAAGGUGCCUGACAACAAUUCCCGGCUGUGUGUUGGACUUGGAAAUGCUCAAAGAAAACUAGUGACACAGAAUCAUUACCUGCAAAGAGCUGAAAUGGUGAACUUGGAAGUAGGGUGUGGAGACCUACAGAGUCGAGCUGUCACUUUGGUGGCUUUCCCAUCAUAUGGGUCUCUCUAAUGUCUGAAAAAGAUCACACGACUUUUCCCAACGUUAUAAACCUUCUUCUGUGAUUUAUUUCUCAGUUUAUGGACUGGUU
RNAcentral lists this long non-coding RNA (729 nucleotides) under Equus asinus (donkey). RNAcentral describes it as "lncRNA (ENSEASG00005027865.1)". Lineage: Eukaryota; Metazoa; Chordata; Mammalia; Perissodactyla; Equidae. The record is from RNAcentral.